Molecule: non-coding RNA, 3832 nt
Organism: Podarcis lilfordi (Lilford's wall lizard)
Lineage: Eukaryota; Metazoa; Chordata; Lepidosauria; Squamata; Lacertidae
Source: the annotation of a GenBank genome assembly
AUAUUUAUGUCCCACACAUCUGAAUGAGUUGCCCCAGCCACUCUGGGCAGCUUCCAACAUAUAUAAAAUAUAGCUGUCAACUUUUCCCUUUUUUUUAAAGGGAAAUUCCCUUAUUCCGGGUAGGAUUCCUCACAAGAAAAAGGAAAAGUUGAGAGCUAUGCUAUAAAAACAUAAUAAAACAUCAAACAUUAAAAAAACAAAACUUCCCUAUACAGGGCUGCCUUCAGAUGUCUUUUAAAGAUUGUAUAGUUACUUAUCUCCUUGGCUCAAGGGUAGCAUAACUCCAUACGCUCCAACAUUUCUCCAACGAAAACAGAGACGUCCUAAGGAAAACUGGGACAUUCUGGGAUCAAAUCAGAAACCGGGACAGCUUCUGUAAAUCUGGGAAAAUAGGGACACUUGGAGGGUUUGCUAUCAUUUUGAUAUUUUGCAUUCAUCCUCACCCUCAUUUUCUUGUUAGCUGCCUUGGGAAGGAAAAACAGGCUGCAAUCUGCAAACAAAAUGGAAAUACAGAAAACUACACUAGCAUACGGCCAGUAGGUUAUCUUGUGAUUUGCUGAACCACAAACCUUGUCAACUUGCUUCCAUUUUGUUAACCAAAUGAUAACCCUGCUUUUAGUUUGGGAUGCUUUGCGCGCUCUCUCUCUCUCUCUCUCUCUCUCUCUCUGGUUUUUUGCUUUUCCUCUCCUGCAAGGAAGUGACUCACUGCUCCCAGCUGGGAGCCACAGAAAUUGGACACUUCCCUUCCAAAAGGCCUCCAUCUUCUUAUGCGCUUCAGGGGACUAUAUAGCAGCUGCACCCCUAUAUAAGACUCUAGAGGGAAAACGGGAAGAAUGUGCAUUUUUUAAAAGGAGAUAUCUUUGUCCUGUUAAAUCAAUGCACUUGGAGUAAAAUGUGUCAUUCCCCCCGCCACAUCUCCAAAAAAAGAAAGAAGCCUGCAAUAAAAUACCACAAAGGCUAAGAGCUGGAACUCCAAAACCAUGCUAUUUUUUGAUUUAACGCUGUCCCAGCUGCCUCCUUGCACAUUCAUGGCAGCUUAUUAUGACACAUCUGGAGGACUGUUGUGAGAGCCGGCCAUUCUGUGACUAAACAGGGGCUUAGCAGGCUGAACCCAUUUACACAAAGAAUAGCAGAGGGUUUGUAUCUGAGCCAGUGAGAUACCUACCCAAGCUUCACGCCAUUAAUUAACAAACGGAACAAGUCAUGUUCAGGCGCACAGGCACACAGGUUGUUGGUAUGCCCUCUUGUGGCAACUGUGACAGUUUCGUAUUUCUUACUGCAGGAAAUACAUGCCACAUUAUAUUACCCAGAAUUCUUAGGACAGGAAGUCAGGUAUGCCUAUGUGGGAAAUGCAGCAAAAUGAAGCCAUGUGUGUUACUAUCCAUGUCGGUGUUGGUACUGAUACUUUAUGUAUAUCAGUGCACUAGAUGCUGUUAGGGUGCUACACUCAAUAUGCCAGCAAGUUUGGAAAACUCAGCAGUGGCCAGAGGAUUGGAGAAGAUCAGUCUACAUCCCAAUCCCAAAGAAGGGAAGUGCCAAAGAAUGAUCCAACUACCGCACAAUUGCACUCAUUUCACACGCUAGCAAGGUUAUGCUUAAAAUUCUACAAGGCAGCCUUAAGCAGUAUGUGGACCGAGAACUCCCAGAAGUGCAAGCUGGAUUUAGAAGAGGCAGAGGAACCAGAGACCAAAUUGCAAACAUGAGCUGGAUUAUGGAGAAAGCUAGAGAGUUCCAGAAAGACAUCUAUUUCUGCUUCAUUGACUAUGCAAAAGCCUUUGACUGUGUCAACCACAGCAAACUAUGGCAAGUUCUUAAAGAAAUGGGAGUGCCUGAUCACCUCAUCUGUCUCCUGAGAAAUCUCUAUGUGGGACAAGAAGCUACAGUUAGAACUGGAUAUGGAACAACUGAUUGGUUCAAAAUUGGGAAAGGAGUACGACAAGGCUGUAUUUUGUCUCCCUGCUUAUUUAACUUAUAUGCAGAAUUCAUCAUGCGAAAGGCUGGGCUGGAUGAAUCCCUAGCCGGAAUUAAGAUUGCCGGAAGAAAUAUCAACAACCUCAGAUAUGCAGAUGACACAACCUUGAUGGCAGAAAGUGAGGAGGAAUUAAAGAACCUUUUAUUGAGGGUGAAAGAGGAGAGCGCAAAAUAUGGUUUGAAGGUCAACAUCAAAAAACGAAGAUCAUGGCCACUGGUCCCAUCACCUCCUGGCAAAUAGAAGGGGAAGAAAUGGAGGCAGUGAGAGAUUUUACUUUCUUGGGCUCCAUGAUCACUGCAGAUGAUGACAGCAGCCACAAAAUUAAGAGACGCCUGCUUCUUGGGAGGAAAGCAAUGACAAACCUAGACAGCAUCUUAAAAGUAGAGACAUCACCUUGCCAACAAAGGUCCGUAUAGUAAAAGCUAUGGUUUUCCCAGUAGUGAUGUAUGGAAGUGAGAGCUGGACCAUAAAGAAGGCUGAUCGCCGAAGAAUUGAUGCUUUUGAAUUAUGGUGCUGGAGGAGACUCUUGAGAGUCCCAUGGACUUCAAGAAGAUCAAACGUAUCCAUUCUUAAGGAAAUCAGCCCUGAGUGCUCACUGGAAGGACAGAUCGUGAAGCUGAGGCUCCAAUACUCUGGCCACCUUAUGAGAAGAGAAGACUCCCUGGAAAAGACCCUGAUGUUGGGAAAGAUUGAGGGCACAAGGAGAAGGGGACGACAGAGGACAAGAUGAUUGGAUAGUGCCUUCGAAGCUACCAGCAUGAGUUUGACCAAACUGCGGGAGGCAGUGGAAGACAGAAGUGCCUGGCGUGCUCUGGUCUAUGGGGUCACGAAGAGUCGGACACGACUAAACGACUAAACAACAACAAAGCGCUACAUGAUAUAGCUUGUGAUUGCCAGGCCACUGGGUCUGGAAAAGAAGGGAUGCACUUUCCUUAGGAAUACAGCUGUGGGGAGGUUUUGAAAGGUUAGGCAUGUAUCCAAUGCACAUCCAACCUGCAUGCUUUAAGUACUCCAUUGGUAUUGCCUCCCUGGAAUUUAUGCAACAGAUUGGAAUUCAGCUAUGCUCACCACUAUACCACCAACGCUAUACAACAGAUUGUAUCAAUGGCUGGUUCUGUAUGGGCCUGAAGUCUGCAGAGUGGGAUUUAUAAUGUGUGCACCAUCACAGUUAGGCUGGAGCUAUAGGCAGCCAUAACCAAAUCCGGACUUGGAAACUGUGUUCUCAGACACAAGAGUUUCUGAGGUUGAGGUAGGGUGUCACUUUUCACAAGGCCUCCGUUGGGAGAUAAUGGAAGAGUGUGCCUUCUGGGGUCAAGCCAAACCGCUGGAGAGUGCCUGCUGUGACCGUAGAGACCAAUACAGUAGAGAGAUGGUUUAUUGCAAGGUGGGGCAAAUGAAGUCAUCUGGUUUUGCUGCUACAGGUACUACAAGUACAAAGAUAAAUUUAGAAAUAAAGAUGCAUCUCAUCACGGUGCAGAGGAGGACUGUGACCAGGUAACCCUUGUUCCUGCUCAGUCUGCUGCCCAGGUGCUCACCACUGAUGGACAAUUUAAAGGCCUGUCCUUUUUACGUACCCUCCGACAUUUUCCCAAUGAAAAGAGGGAUGUUCUAUUCUACACCAGGAAGCUUCUCCCAUGUUUGAUCUUGUCACACACAUAGACGUCAUAUACACAGGUACACCUGUCACCUUGAGCCAAUUACAACCUCUCUGCCUCACCUACCUCACGGGAUGGUUGUAAAGAAAAAAAAUGUGUGACGGAAUGGAUCAUGUACAAGACCUCCCACAGAUAAAUGGAAUGAAAUAAAAUUUUAGCUGUAAGUUGCUUUGAGUCUCUGUCAGGGAGACUCAAAUAAUAGACG